UGUGGGAGCGGGCUUGCUCGCGCAGGCGUCAGCACAUCCAGCAUCAUUGCAAGCUGGACCAACGCUUCCGCGAGCAAGCCCACUCCCACA
RNAcentral lists this unclassified non-coding RNA (90 nucleotides) under Pseudomonas corrugata. Lineage: Bacteria; Pseudomonadati; Pseudomonadota; Gammaproteobacteria; Pseudomonadales; Pseudomonadaceae. The record is from RNAcentral.